CGUUGAUCCUGCGGGAGGUUGCUGCUAUUGGGGUUCGAUUUAGCCAUGCAAGUCUAGGGGGUGUUUCGGCACCACCGGCAAAAUGCUCAGUAACACGUUGUUAAUCUGCCCUUAGGUAAGGGAUAGCCUUGGGAAACUGAGGGUAAUACCUUAUAGAGGAAUUGUUCUGGAAAUGAUUUUUCCUUUAAAGAUUACGCCUAAGGAUGAGACAGCGGCGGAUUAGGUUGUUGGCGAGGUAAUGGCCCACCAAGCUUAAGAUCCGUACGGGCCGUGAGAGCGGUAGCCCGGAGAAGGACACUGAGAUACUGGUCCUAGCCCUACGGGGUGCAGGCGCGAAACCUUUACAAUGCACGAAAGUGUGAUAAGGGAACCCCAAGUGCUCAUGUUCUACAUGGGCUUUUGUUAAGUGUAAAUAGCUUAGCGAAUAAGUGGUGGGUAAGACUGGUGCCAGCAGCCGCGGUAACACCAGCGCCACGAGUGGGAACCAUGUUUAUUGGGCCUAAAGCGUCCGUAGCUGGUUUGGUAAAAUCUUUUGUGAAAUCAUUCGGCUUAACCGAAUGGCGUGCAGAAGAGACUGCCAGACUCGAGACCGGGAGGAGUCAGGGGAAUUCUGAGGGGAGCGGUAAAAUGCAAUAAUCCUCAGCGGACCACCUGUGGCGAAGGCGCCUGACUAGAACGGUUCUGACAGUGAGGGACGAAAGCUAGGGGAGCGAUCCGGAUUAGAUACCCGAGUAGUCCUAGCCGUAAACGCUGCGAGCAAGGCGUUGCAUUUUCUACGUGAAUAUGCAGUGUCGAAGAGAAGUCGUUAAGCUCGCCGCCUGGGAAGUAUGGUCGCAAGACUGAAACUUAAAGGAAUUGGCGGGGGAGCACUACAAGGGGUGCGGCGUGCGGUUCAAUCUAACUCAACGCAGAGAACCUCACCAGGGGUGACGGCAGGAUGAAAGUCAGUUUAAAGGGCUUACUUGACGAGCCGAGAGGUAGUGCAUGGCCGCCGUCAGCUCGUGCCGUAAGGUGUCCUGUUAAGUCAGGCAACGAGCGAGACCUGUACCCAUAAUUGUCAGCAGCGUCUUCGGACGGACUGAACCCCUUAUGGGAACUGCCCUGGAAACAGGGAGGAAGGUGCAGGCUACGGUAGGUCUGUAUGCUCCGAAUCCUCUGGGCUACACGCGCGCAACAAUGGUAAGGACAAAAGGAUGCAACUCCGAAAGGAGAAGCUAAACCCAUAAACCUUAUCUUAGUCUAGAUCGAGGUUUGCAACUCAGCCUCGUGACAAUGGAAUCCCUAGUAAUCGGGUGUCAACAUCGCCCGGUGAAUAUGUCCCUGCUCCUUGCACACACCGCCCGUCAAACCACUCGAGCAGGGUCUAGGUGAACUUUACCCUUUUGGAUAUCGUGAAUCUAGGCUCAGUGAGAUGGGUUAAGUCGUCACAAGGUA
RNAcentral lists this ribosomal RNA (1434 nucleotides) under metagenome. RNAcentral describes it as "bacterial SSU rRNA". It matches the Rfam family "Archaeal small subunit ribosomal RNA". The record is from RNAcentral.